AGUGAACGCUGGCGGUAGGCCUAACACAUGCAAGUCGAACGGCAGCACAGUAAGAGCUUGCUCUUACGGGUGGCGAGUGGCGGACGGGUGAGGAAUACAUCGGAAUCUACUUUUUCGUGGGGGAUAACGUAGGGAAACUUACGCUAAUACCGCAUACGACCUACGGGUGAAAGCAGGGGAUCUUCGGACCUUGCGCGAUUGAAUGAGCCGAUGUCGGAUUAGCUAGUUGGCGGGGUAAAGGCCCACCAAGGCGACGAUCCGUAGCUGGUCUGAGAGGAUGACUCGCCCCCCUGGAACCUGGACCCCGUCCCGGCCCCCUCCGGGGGGCACCAGUGGGGAUUUUUGGACAAUGGGCGCAAGCCUGAUCCGGCCAUCCCGCGUGGGUGAAGAGGGCCUUCGGUUUGUAAAGCCCUUUUGUUGGGAAGAAAAGCAGCAGGUUAAUACCCCGCUGUUCUGACGGUACCCAAAGAAUAAGCACCGGCUAACUUCGUG
This 492-nucleotide ribosomal RNA is filed under the name uncultured bacterium. RNAcentral's name for it is "partial 16S ribosomal RNA". It matches the Rfam family "Bacterial small subunit ribosomal RNA", at positions 29 to 507 of the family's 1533-position model. The record is from RNAcentral.